Papaver somniferum (opium poppy) is the source of this 2534-nucleotide long non-coding RNA. RefSeq lists it as uncharacterized. Lineage: Eukaryota; Viridiplantae; Streptophyta; Magnoliopsida; Ranunculales; Papaveraceae. The record is from RefSeq and is a predicted model, not a curated record. The transcript has 9 exons.
UCUCUCCCAUGUCAAUUUCUCAACUCACUUUCUCUUUCUCGAAUCCUCUCUUAUUUUCUCCGCCUCCCUCCCUCGGAAGAAAACCUAGCUCACCAAAAUCUCUUUUCUCUUUCACCCUCUCUGUGCAAAAACUAGUAGAUCGAUUAGAUCUCUGUACAAAAACCCUAAAGUUUCUAUUGAUGAUGUUUUUGAGUCUCAAAGAAGCUAAAAAACCAGCACCACAGAAAUUCCUUCCCUUGUUUUUAUUCAGAUCAAUUAGCAUGCUAGCAAACCCAUCUCUUGAUUCUUCAUCCAAAAUCCCUCAAGAAGAUCUCAAACCUGCUGGAAAUUGAUUUACGUCAGUACUUAUUUUCAAUUUAUUUUCGAUUGAAUCCAUGUUUUUGUGUUUUCAUUUUUAGGGGUUUCCUUGAGAUCUCUAACAAGUUCUAAAUAAAUAAUGAUUACUGUUAAUUUUUUCGUUUUAGAGUUUGAGAAUCCUGAGAUUUUCUUUGAUUUCUUCGAUCUAUUCAGAAUUAGCUUUUCAUGUUUUUGUUAGGGUUUUCAGUUUUUACUUCCCAUUCUUCAAUCUGGGAAGAUUUAGAUUCUAGGAUUUCAAUCCUUGAGAUAGAUUGAUUCAACUCCUGUGUUACAUAAGUACAUGAUUUUUGCUUCCUCAUGCUAAUAAUCGUUAGCUAAGUUUCCAUUUCAAAAAGCUUGUUGAUAUUUAUCAUUCAUAUCACUUCUUUAAUAGUUUUCCUGAUAGAUUUUUCUGAAAAUUUUCACAAGAGACAAACCCUAAAUUGAUUUGAAGAAUCCCUGUUAGAGUUGUUGAAAAUUCAGCCACAUCGCAAAUUACAGGUAGGAGUAACGAACAUUCUCUUCCUCUAGCUUGUACAAUCUUGAGUGUUGUUUGUUCCUUUGAUUUAACACUCUGGCAGAUUUUGACUUCCAACUUGAAAGCCUCGCCCAAGGUUUCAAGUCUCUGUCCAAGGCAAAGACAAAUGAAUCUCAUCAUCGAUGCAUUUGGGGAAAAGUUAUCCAUCCUCAUAGUAACAGUCGUGUUCGUGCUAAAUUCACUUCCAACUUACCACCUAAAUCCAUGGUAAGAGAUAAACAAACUUCAAUCUGCUUUUGUAUAUGAAGUAUUUUUUAAUAGAGUUCAGAAAUUAUAAUUUGAAUUGGGUUGCUAAUAGAAGUUUGAAGUCGCAAGGUUUGGUUGAGAAAAUUUGCUUCCAAAGGUAAUUUUUGUGUGGAUUUGUCAUCUUUUUAGUUAAAUUCUUGGGUUCUAUUUUCGUUGUUUGUGGGAUGUAAGUGAGUAAUUUGAAGGACCUGUCUAACUGUUGUUGUAGCCAGUUUAACUAUUGUUCUGAUUUCGGUUUGGUGUUCCAUUGUUGUGUCAUAGGAAGUAGCUGAUAAGAAAUUCUUAGAUCAGGAUUAAUCCUCGGGUGAUGCUUUGGAUGAGUCAACAAGUUAAUCCUCGGGUGAUGCUUUGGAUGAGUCCACAAGCAAAGUUUGAAUGAUGCGAAGGUUGCGUCAUCCAAAUAUUUUUUAUUUCCUGGGUACCAUAACUCUCCCUUCAAACCUGGCUAUUGUCAUUGAGUAUCUCCCAAUGCUGUGUGGUGUGGACUGAGUUUUCCGUUGUAAAUGCAAGUGACAGAGGUCAUGGAAUCCAAGUCUCCUGAAGAUAUUUACAAGCUAGCUACCCGGACUCGAUGAUCUGUUGGUUCUAGAUAUAGUGCAUAUGCGAUCUAUCUAAAGUUCAAUGAGUACCCUUUGUCACUUCGAAUUGCAAACUCAUUCGCAGUAUGUGAAGGAUAUGGUUAAAUCCUGGAGAUGGAAGUAACUAAUGGCUGGUUUAAGUUGCAAUCCUAGCACCAGUAAUUCUAAUGGUCAGAGGCUGAAUGAUGGUGGUCCCUCAAUUUCGAAAUUUGAGCAAUGAACACGGGUUAACUUAGAUGCAUAAUUACAAAGUGGCAUGAACCCAAUAUUCUAUUGGACAGUUUGGGCUUUCUUUUUCAAUUGCAAGUCUGCGAUCAUAAAAGCGUUUUGUCAUUUCCUCUUCUUACUACAAAGAAUACAGUAGACUGUUAAGCGCUUUAUCUCCUUAUUCAGCAUGUCUCAAGGAGCUCAAGGAGAACAGAUGAAUAGUCUCGAGAGCUGAGGUCUCUGAGCUCUUGGAAUCGGCAGUAAGUGCAGCUAAUGAGUCUUGAGUUGGAGGUGAUAUGGUUCAUUUUAUUAAUUAUCGUUUUAUUUUCUCAAAAUAAAUAUGGAUGCCCUCCGCCGCCAGCGAGCAACCUGAAUUGCAGACUAAGGAGGAACAAACUACAAUGGUGUUGCAGGUUCAUGAUGAUGACCUGUAUUGCAGGCCUGUAAACGGGAAAUAAUCCAGGUUCAUGAUGAUGACCUGUAUGCCUGUAAACUGGAAGCCCGGGUCCAUGAAAUUGAUCUUUUUAAAUUGUAAUUUACAGAAUUGUCACGGAUUUAAAUGUAACAACAAGUGUAAAAAACACGUGUCAUCAUCUUACUUUUGUUAUAAAGAGAGUAACAAUUUUAAA